CCUACGGGAGGCAGCAGUAGGGAAUCUUCCACAAUGGGCGAAAGCCUGAUGGAGCAACGCCGCGUGGGUGAAGAAGGUCUUCGGAUCGUAAAACCCUGUUGUUAGAGAAGAAAGUGCGUGAGAGUAACUGUUCACGUUUCGACGGUAUCUAACCAGAAAGCCACGGCUAACUACGUGCCAGCAGCCGCGGUAAUACGUAGGUGGCAAGCGUUAUCCGGAUUUAUUGGGCGUUAAGGGAACGCAGGCGGUCUUUUAAGUCUGAUGGGAAAGCCUUCGGGUUAACCGGAGUAGUGCAUUGGAAACGGGGAGACUUGAGGGCAGAAGAGGAGAGUGGAACUCGAUGUGUAGCGGUGAAAUGCGUAGAUAUAUGGAAGAACACCAGUGGCGAAAGCGGCUAUCUGGUCUGUAACUGACGCUGAGGUUCGAAAGCGUGGGUAGCAAACAGGAUUAGAUACCCGGGUAGUC
This 465-nucleotide ribosomal RNA is filed under the name uncultured bacterium. Its description in RNAcentral is "partial 16S ribosomal RNA". It matches the Rfam family "Bacterial small subunit ribosomal RNA", at positions 338 to 795 of the family's 1533-position model. The record is from RNAcentral.